GCUUACCACUCUGUAGCUCAGUGGUUAGAGCACUGGUCUUGUAAACCAGGGGUCGAGAGUUCGAGUCUCUCCAGAGGCU
This is a non-coding RNA of Nematostella vectensis (starlet sea anemone), 79 nucleotides long. Lineage: Eukaryota; Metazoa; Cnidaria; Anthozoa; Actiniaria; Edwardsiidae. The record is from the annotation of a RefSeq genome assembly.